Molecule: ribosomal RNA, 212 nt
Filed under: Salmonella enterica subsp. enterica serovar Infantis
Lineage: Bacteria; Pseudomonadati; Pseudomonadota; Gammaproteobacteria; Enterobacterales; Enterobacteriaceae
Description: partial 16S ribosomal RNA
Rfam family: Bacterial small subunit ribosomal RNA
Source: RNAcentral
GCUAGUAAUCGUGGAUCAGAAUGCCACGGUGAAUACGUUCCCGGGCCUUGUACACACCGCCCGUCACACCAUGGGAGUGGGUUGCAAAAGAAGUAGGUAGCUUAACCUUCGGGAGGGCGCUUACCACUUUGUGAUUCAUGACUGGGGUGAAGUCGUAACAAGGUAACCGUAGGGGAACCUGCGGUUGGAUCACCUCCUUACCUGAAAGAAGC